Molecule: ribosomal RNA, 253 nt
Filed under: uncultured bacterium
Lineage: Bacteria
Description: partial 16S ribosomal RNA
Rfam family: Bacterial small subunit ribosomal RNA
Source: RNAcentral
GACGGAGGGGGCAAGCGUUAUCCGGAAUUAUUGGGCGUAAAGCGUCCGCAGGGGGCGAUUCAAGUCUGCUGUCAAAGGUCGGGGCUUAACCCCGGGAAGGCAGUGGAAACUGAAUAGCUAGAGUGCGGUAGGGGCAGAGGGAAUUCCCGGUGUAGCGGUGAAAUGCGUAGAGAUCGGGAAGAACACCAGUGGCGAAAGCGCGCUGCUGGGCCUGCACUGACCCUGAGGGACGAAAGCUAGGGGAGCGAAAGGG